UUGGCAGAGUGGUUAAAGCAUUUGGCUGGUAACCAAAAAGUGGGUGGUUCAAACCUGCCA
This 60-nucleotide transfer RNA is filed under the name Loxodonta africana (African savanna elephant). It matches the Rfam family "tRNA", at positions 7 to 64 of the family's 71-position model. Rfam says of the family: Transfer RNA (tRNA) molecules are approximately 80 nucleotides in length. Their secondary structure includes four short double-helical elements and three loops (D, anti-codon, and T loops). Further hydrogen bonds mediate the characteristic L-shaped molecular structure. tRNAs have two regions of fundamental functional importance: the anti-codon, which is responsible for specific mRNA codon recognition, and the 3' end, to which the tRNAs corresponding amino acid is attached (by aminoacyl-tRNA synthetases). tRNAs cope with the degeneracy of the genetic code in two manners: having more than one tRNA (with a specific anti-codon) for a particular amino acid; and 'wobble' base-pairing, i.e. permitting non-standard base-pairing at the 3rd anti-codon position. The record is from Rfam by way of RNAcentral. Lineage: Eukaryota; Metazoa; Chordata; Mammalia; Proboscidea; Elephantidae.